RNAcentral lists this ribosomal RNA (835 nucleotides) under Colletotrichum godetiae. RNAcentral describes it as "LSU rRNA". It matches the Rfam family "Eukaryotic large subunit ribosomal RNA", at positions 99 to 965 of the family's 3401-position model. Lineage: Eukaryota; Fungi; Ascomycota; Sordariomycetes; Glomerellales; Glomerellaceae. The record is from RNAcentral.
CGGCAACAGCUCAAAUUUGAAAUCUGGCCCCAGGCCCGAGUUGUAAUUUGCAGAGGAUGCUUUUGGCGCGGUGCCUUCCGAGUUCCCUGGAACGGGACGCCAUAGAGGGUGAGAGCCCCGUACGGUUGGACACCAAGCCUUUGUAAAGCUCCUUCGACGAGUCGAGUAGUUUGGGAAUGCUGCUCUAAAUGGGAGGUACAUUUCUUCUAAAGCUAAAUAUUGGCCAGAGACCGAUAGCGCACAAGUAGAGUGAUCGAAAGAUGAAAAGCACUUUGAAAAGAGGGUUAAACAGCACGUGAAAUUGUUAAAAGGGAAGCGCUUGUGACCAGACUUGCGUCCGGUGAAUCACCCAGCUCUCGCGGCUGGGGCACUUCGCCGGCACAGGCCAGCAUCAGCUUGCCGUCGGGGACAAAAGCUUCAGGAACGUGGCUCCUCUCGGGGAGUGUUAUAGCCUGUUGCACAAUACCCUUCGGCGGGCUGAGGUACGCGCUCCGCAAGGAUGCUGGCGUAAUGGUCAUCAGCGACCCGUCUUGAAACACGGACCAAGGAGUCAACCUUAUGUGCGAGUGUUUGGGUGUCAAACCCCUACGCGUAAUGAAAGUGAACGCAGGUGAGAGCUUCGGCGCAUCAUCGACCGAUCCUGAUGUUCUCGGAUGGAUUUGAGUAAGAGCAUAUAGGGUUGGACCCGAAAGAAGGUGAACUAUGCGUGUGUAGGGUGAAGCCAGAGGAAACUCUGGUGGAGGCUCGCAGCGGUUCUGACGUGCAAUCGAUCGUCAAACAUGCGCAUGGGGGGCGAAAGACUAAUCGAACCUUCUAGUAGCUGGUUUCCGCCGAA